AUCGAGCUGACAAGUUCCAAAUAGGACGAAACGCAUGUGCUAGAU
Molecule: non-coding RNA, 45 nt
Filed under: Schistosoma margrebowiei
Lineage: Eukaryota; Metazoa; Platyhelminthes; Trematoda; Strigeidida; Schistosomatidae
Source: RNAcentral